Molecule: ribosomal RNA, 428 nt
Filed under: uncultured bacterium
Lineage: Bacteria
Description: partial 16S ribosomal RNA
Rfam family: Bacterial small subunit ribosomal RNA
Source: RNAcentral
GUGGGGAAUAUUGGGCAAUGGGCGAAAGCCUGACCCAGCAACGCCGCGUGAGGGAAGAAGGCCUUCGGGUUGUAAACCUCUGUCCUUGGUGACGAAAAAAAUGACGGUAGCCAAGGAGGAAGCCCCGGCUAACUACGUGCCAGCAGCCGCGGUAAUACGUAGGGGGCGAGCGUUGUCCGGAAUUACUGGGCGUAAAGGGUGCGUCGGUGGCCUUUUAAGUUGGAUGUGAAAUACCCGGGCUUAACUUGGGGGGUGCAUCUAAUACUGGAGGGCUAGAGUGCAGGAGAGGGAAGCGGAAUUCCUAGUGUAGCGGUGAAAUGCGUAGAUAUUAGGAGGAACACCAGUGGCGAAGGCGGCUUUCUGGACUGUAACUGACACUGAGGCACGAAAGCGUGGGGAGCAAACAGGAUUAGAAACCCCUGUAGUCC